CGAAGGCCUCUGGUAAAUUGGGCCAUCGGCCGGCCCAUUAUACGGACGAGCGACCGUGUCCAUCGUGUCCAGAAGACUGGUUGCUGCGAGAGAAAAAAGGGGAUCAGACAGAGGAGGGGAUCGAUGCAGCCACUGCGGGUGAUGCGGGGAUCGCUAGAUCCAGUCAACGCGGGCGAUCGAUCUACAAAGGACAAAAGAGGCGAUCCAGGCAACGCAGCUGAUUCAAGCCGACCCUUCGUCUGCAAGAAACUGCUCCACGGAGAUUUCAAGGGCGCAAUUAUUCUUCAGUUUUUCUGCACAAUUCAUGGCGGGGGUGAUGUGCAUCUCCUUUCCUCUACCUCCGGGUACAGGUCUGUGUAUAUAUAUAUGUGUUACCUCCCCUACCAAGCCAAUACUCCCGCAGCAGAGCAUGAACCAUGAUGCUCGUCUAGAUCCCUAUAUCUCUGUUCAGUUCAUGUAAGAUUCUUCCAGCAAGCAAUUAUAUAUCGUAAUAUGCUCUCAUUCCAAAAAUUCAACAUACAGAUUCCUUGUUUUUUUUGCGGGUGAGAUUCCUUGUUGUCCUUUUACAUAAUCAGCCGCAUGAUUCUUUUCCCUACCACUGGUGGCUUCAAGUGUCAGCUGCAAGUAUUUUUUUUCUUCAUAAAUAUUUAGAUGGAGAUUUCUUUCUUUCUUUGGUCUAUCCCUUCAAUUGUCACAGAGAACAAAUCGUUAUUUUUAUCCAGGACUACCAAGUUAAAGGUGCAUACAUUCCUCAAGAAUAUUGGCCGGUCAACCAAGCCUUAUUGAGAAAUUAGUUAGCCUCUCCAUGGCUCAGGCGGAAUAUUCGAUUCGGAAAUGUAUGUGGUGUGCUUUCAUUCUUCAACUAUGUGGUCAGGAAACUAUACCCUCACAGUUGGCAAAUUCAGGCACCCUCAUAUUCUCCGUUUUUUAUUCUAGCUGAGCUUUUGCGUCACAGCAACAGAACACUUACAUGCUGAAGAUGUUAGUAUUUUGCAAAAAAAAUUGUGCAUUGAAGAUUAGUUAUGAUAUUUUCGGUUCCACACUAUUGUUUGGUAAUUUUUUAACGCCUUUAAUUUGAUUAGUUAUGAUAUUUUCGGUUCCACACUAUUGUUUGGUAAUUUUUUAAUGCCUUUAAUUUGAUAAAAGGGACAUCGUGUAUUCUCACAAAAAACUAUGAGUUCAUUGGUGUAUGAGAGCAUGCCGGUUCAUUUUUAACAAAAUCGGGAGCAGAAUGCUCCUUAACUUGAAAAACAUAGAUGUACAAGAUUUUUUUUCAAAAUGUGUUGAUGGGACGGAAACCCAUCAUUGUAUGUUUCCAUCUCCGGCCUAUGGGCGUCCUUCCCAGUAAAAGAGGUUUUGCAUCCCUUGGUUAUAAUUCUGGUUUUAGUACUUAACAUUCUCUCCACUUACAUUAUUGGUUAUUUACUGGAUCAUGUGAAAUCUACUCAUAAUUAGACACCAAAUCAUCAUGUAGCAAAAUUCCUUGAAUCACACUGUAUUGUUGCUAUGUUAACAAUGCCUCGUGGAAGCUUGCCAAUAUCAAAUACUUAACUUAUGAAUUUCCUUCCUUUUCCGGUUCAUAACUAUGUGAAUUGUGUGAAACUGCAACCACAUUCUUCCAUGUCUGCUCUUCUGAAUUAUGAACACUGCAAUGACUCUUCUAAGGUGUUCACAUUGCUUGGUAUUUUCAUUUGUUAUUAUGAUGAUAGUUGUGCUAAAAUAGGCAGCUUAGCUAUUGCUUAGAUCAUUGUUAAUUACUAUUUCCUUUAUAAGAAAAUUUCACCAAGUAAUCUAUAUAAUAUGCAUUCACAGGUUAUAUAUUGAAUAUCUGAAUGGACCUUUCCUUCUUGUGAUACUAGCAAGACAGUGUAGCCAUUUGAUUAAAGGAAACAUGAUUUAACUUGUGAAGCUGAGCACCCAAACAGGAUUUAAUUUGUGAAGCUGAGCACCCAAACAGGAUUUAACUUGUGAAGUUGAGCACCUAGCACCAUAAAAAAUUGGGACAAAUAUAAAACCAACAUGUAGUGAACUAUUGUCAGAAUGCAUGGGUAUUAUCAGUACGACCCACUGUAAGUGAGCUUAAAGGGCCAGCUUUUCAUUGAUCAAUGAUUGAGAUCUGUCUUCACAUGUGAACAUUCAGAAUUUGAGUUAUUUAUUUCACUAAUACAAAUUUGUUAUGUGUUUACCAUGGACAUGUGUGUAAAUUAAAAGAAAGCGUCCUUAUUUAUGUUGAGUAAUUUCGUACAAGGAACAUCUUUUAUACUUGUAUAAGUCUUAUGAGUAUGAUGACACACCAACAAUCUGAUCUUUCAGUGUAAUUUUUAGAUUACUCAGAAAGAAACACCUAACAUAUAACUGAUAGAACAUAAGCAUUACUUAUUUCCCUACCAUAGUGGUACCAUGUAAGACACUAUCUACAACUGUUGAGAUGUGAUUGCAUCCUAAUGUUAUUGUCACUUCAGUUCUCUGCUUUGAAAUCCGAAGUUUGAGAACCUCAUAACCCUAGGAGGUAAUCUUUAUCAAAACAAACAAACAAACUACAAAGGUAAAUUGACAAAAUGUUGCAUUGUACUCAUAGAUAUAUUUUGUUUCCUCUUUAUGGUCCCCAAAGAGAUGAUGUCGUAUUUUGAAACACCAUUGCAUAAGGGAGUGGGUGGUCGUCUACUCUAGCAUGGAAGAACACCGAGUAUGAAUGGCACUGUGUGGUAGAACAAGUUUUUGGAAUAUCAGUGUAAUGUUACUGGAUGAAGCAGUGUAAAGCACUCUGACAACUAUUGAAGCAUUUCUUUUAUUCUUUUUGGUGAUAUUGA
Triticum urartu is the source of this 2810-nucleotide long non-coding RNA. RefSeq lists it as uncharacterized. The record is from RefSeq and is a predicted model, not a curated record. NCBI's taxonomy places the organism in Eukaryota, Viridiplantae, Streptophyta, Magnoliopsida, Poales, Poaceae.